This is a long non-coding RNA of Salvia miltiorrhiza (redroot sage), 1290 nucleotides long. RefSeq lists it as uncharacterized. The transcript has 7 exons. NCBI's taxonomy places the organism in Eukaryota, Viridiplantae, Streptophyta, Magnoliopsida, Lamiales, Lamiaceae. The record is from RefSeq and is a predicted model, not a curated record.
GGUCACGGUUACUAGAAAUUUCCCUCUCUCUCUAAACCUCUACUGCCGCCUCCCUCCCUCACACUCCACCGGCAGCGGUAUCCCCCAUUCGACCGUCCUCCACCAGUGCGGCGUCGCCCUUUCUGCCGUCUUCCACCGGCGCGGCGUCGCCCUUUCAGCCCUCCUCACUUCAUCCACCGGCGCGGCGUCCCUACUUUCGCCCUUGGCCCCUCAAUCGGCAUUCCUGCUUUGCCGGCGCGACUUGCCAAUAGUCGGCCUUCCACCUUCAGCAGCAAGCAACUCCUCCAUUCUCCUCCGCCAAUUCGGCGCGACACAGCACACAUACGUGGGCUUUUGGAUUUGAAGCUUCUCAUGGAAUGAAAGAAGAUAAAAGAUCGCAACUUUGAGGUAAAACUAUCUCUACUUGAUUUGAAUUAGGGAAGUUUUCUCAGCUUGCAAGAAACUUUUUUGCCAGAGCAAUGAGAGGAAACUUUUGUUGUGUUUCAAGAAAUGGAGUUUAAUAAUGUCCAGCCAGAUUCAGUAGCUCUUACACGAGCCUUCAAUCGAGGAUCUCAACUAGGAAAAGCCCUGUUUCUGCAUGUACUAUCUUGCCAAACUGAAAUGCCUUAAUUGAAGUUAUCAAAAUAAUAGAGACUUCUCUUCCUCGUAUCUCGGUUGGAACUCUGAACCAUCUUCUUCAUUUUUUAUGGCAAAGUAGGAAAGAUUGGCACCAUGAUGAAGGUUAAGAUAUUCAAGUUGAAAAGUGGUUCCGAUGAGAGUUGUAUUACAGGGAGAAGUUGACCUGACCACCUAUGCAGUAUUAUUGAAGAAUCUUUUAGCUGCUGAGAAUUGGAGAUAAUAUGUUGGGAUAAAUCUAAAUCCUUAUACAUAAUGUGCCAUUCGAAGAUCCUUUCUCCACCACGAAUCUUAUGGCUUGCGACCAUCCAAAACGAGCUAUUUCUGGUGUUAAGCAUCAUAACUGGAAAAUGACUUGAUGGAGGAACUAGGAGUUCCACCUUCCCUUCAAAUGUACAAGGACUUGACAUUUUUUACACCUUCCAGCUCUCCAAGUUUAUUUGAUAUUGUUGGAGUUCGUGUUGAGUGGGGAAGCAUGCUGCUGGAACACGUAUAGUAUGAUAGAUUUUUGUUUUAGCUAUGCAAUACGCCAAUACUUAGUACUUUAAAUUUUGAAUCGAUAUUAUUGUAUUGAUUAUAUUUAUAUGUAUUCGAUAGUUUGUAAUUUUAGGUAUGAAAUUUGUAUUAAUACUUGCUACAAGAUUGUCGAAUAAAAUAUUUUAAUUAUGAAUGCAA